GUGCUUGCUCAGGCAGCACAUGUGAUGAAUUGGAAUCAAUACAGAGAAGAUUAGCAGCUCCUGGAGGCGCAAGGAUCACAUGCAAAUUUGUGAAGCGUUUCCACAUUUU
RNAcentral lists this small nuclear RNA (109 nucleotides) under Seriola dumerili (greater amberjack). Lineage: Eukaryota; Metazoa; Chordata; Actinopteri; Carangiformes; Carangidae. The record is from RNAcentral.